RNAcentral lists this ribosomal RNA (253 nucleotides) under uncultured bacterium. RNAcentral's name for it is "partial 16S ribosomal RNA". It matches the Rfam family "Bacterial small subunit ribosomal RNA", at positions 524 to 776 of the family's 1533-position model. The record is from RNAcentral.
UACGGAGGGUGCAAACGUUGCUCGGAAUCAUUGGGCGUAAAGCGCACGUAGGCGGUCCGCUAUGUCGGGUGUGAAAGCCCUCGGCUUAACCGAGGAAGUGCAUUCGAAACUACGCAGCUAGAGUCCUGGAGAGGAAGGUGGAAUGCUUGGUGUAGAGGUGAAAUUCGUAGAUAUCAAGCGGAACACCGGUGGCGAAGGCGGCAUCCUGGACCGACAUUGACGCUGAGGAGCGAAAGCUAGGGGAGCAAACGGG